UCCCGGGUGGGUGGGCACUUGUUGCAUUGCGAGAGGGCUUUUGCAGCGACGAGACUUCUCAUCCCGUCCUGGCUGAGAGUUACCAGUUUGACAGCUGAUUCUGAAUGCUAGUGUCAGUGUAAGAGAGGAGCCAGGCAAAGAGCAGUGGCAUCACUGAAGGGCUGGCUGUUAUUGCUGUGGGAGAUCGAAAGCUACUUCCAACCGUAUUUUGUGUGUCAUCUGCAG
Molecule: long non-coding RNA, 225 nt
Organism: Tyto alba (common barn owl)
Lineage: Eukaryota; Metazoa; Chordata; Aves; Strigiformes; Tytonidae
Exons: 3
Source: RefSeq, a predicted model, not a curated record